AAUAGAAACCAUGCUCAAAAAGGAGUCAUGAGAAAACUAGAGGAGACCAAUUGCCCAUAGUGAUCAGCGGGCACUGAAGGAGGCUUCUUUUUUUUUCAUGGUUCAAUGAUAGCUGCGAUAUGAGCCAAACCAUUUUUGAUUUCAGGGUUAGCAAGGUAAGGCAGCGUCCAACACCAACAUUCUAAACUUAGGAGAUGACUGACCCCGUACAAUCAAAAGUAUAAAUAGCUGGUGCAAAGGAGAUCAGCAAUGAUGUGUGAAGCCCAUGCAGAUGAGGGAGGCAAUUCUUCAAUAGAAAGGGGAUUGCAGACUAACUUGGUAAAGCACUUCAUCUGCGAUCCAAUUCCCAAUGCCUGCAAUGUAGCUCUGCAUAAUGAAGCCUCAAUCAGGAAAGGAAAUAAAAAUUAUCUGCAUUAUGCAUUAAAACCAGACAUUAACUAGCCACCAUUUUUUGCCAAUUCAAGAUACGCUAGAAGGUCUGUCAAUAGUUUGAAAAUAAAGGGGCAUUUAAGAGCUCUCUACGAAGGAGGUAAUCAAUCCAAUGCAACAGUCACCAUGUUUCUCGCCAAACCAUGUGGCCUGUUGACAAGAAUGAGGAACCCUCAUAGUAAGCCAUCUCAUUAAAGAACUUCCAACGGGCUUAUGCUGUGAGAAGAUAUAAUUUUUUUCCGUAUUAUUUUAGGAAAGAAUCAUAGGAUGGAAAAUUUUAGCAGGCCAGGAGCAACGAAGAAAUUUUGAAAUCCAGUUAGAUCGUAAAGUCAGAUCAUUCUAACUGUGAUGGACUCUUCAUCCUCUAACCAGCAGCUGAAUGGAGAAGUGCCCAAGGCUAUGCUGCAGGCUUUAGGGGGGAGAAACCACUGGGAGAGAGAACAGACCCAAAAAAUGAUCAACUGGUGAGUUUGAAAAUCAAACGACAAGAAGAAAUCCUUCUACCAAAUGAACAGCUCCAAAUGCCAGCCAAUUACUUUCCUCAUUAUUAUACUGUUCCAGUCAAUUUCCUCACUUGGUCAUAAUUAGCAUAGUCCACUGAAAUUGCAUUAUCUUUUUUUUUUCCUUUUUCAG
Molecule: long non-coding RNA, 1062 nt
Filed under: Spirodela polyrhiza (greater duckweed)
Lineage: Eukaryota; Viridiplantae; Streptophyta; Magnoliopsida; Alismatales; Araceae
Description: long non-coding RNA (SPOL_LNC001985)
Source: RNAcentral